AGCAGCCGCGGUAAUUCCAGCUCCAAUAGCGUAUAUUAAAGUUGUUGCAGUUAAAAGCUCGUAGUUGAAUUUCGGGGUCAGCAAGUUGGUCGUGCCACUGGUAUGCACUGGCUUUGCUGAUUCCUCCUUCUUGUAGAACCGUAAUGCCAUUUAGUUGGUGUUGCGGGGAAACAGGACUGUUACUUUGAAAAAUUGAGUGUUUAAAGCAGGCUAACGCCUGAAUACAUUAGCAUGGAAUAAUGAAAUAGGACGAGCGAUCCUAUUUUGUUGGUUUCUAGGAUUGACGUAAUGAUUAAUAGGGAUAGUUGGGGGCAUUAGUAUUCAAUUGUCAGAGGUGAAAUUCUUGGAUUUAUUGAAGACUGACUACUGCGAAAGCAUUUGCCAAGGAUGUUUUCAUUAAUCAAGAACGAAAGUUAGGGAUCGAAGACGAUCAGAUACCGUCGUAGUCUUAACCAUAAACUAUGCCGACUAG
This 472-nucleotide unclassified non-coding RNA is filed under the name uncultured Glomus. RNAcentral's name for it is "SSU rRNA". It matches the Rfam family "Eukaryotic small subunit ribosomal RNA", at positions 569 to 1049 of the family's 1831-position model. The record is from RNAcentral. Lineage: Eukaryota; Fungi; Glomeromycota; Glomeromycetes; Glomerales; Glomeraceae.